GUUAGUGUGUAAUUAGUGUGUCGUUAGUCUGUAGUUAGUGUGUAGUUAGCGUGUAGUUAGUGUGUCAUUAGUGUGUAGUUAGUGUGUCAUUAGUGUGUAAUUAGUGUGUAGUUAGUGUGUAGUUAGUGUGAAAUUAGUGUGUAGAUAGUGUGUAGUUAGUGUGUAGUUAGCGUGUAAUGUGUAGUUAGUGUGUAGUUAGUGUGUAGUUAGCGUGCAGUUAGCGUGUAAUUAGCGUGUAGUUAGCGUGACUUUAAUUUGAAUAUUUUGUGCAAUAAUAUGGAGUUAAUUGAUUUUAACAGCAUUCAUUUACAUAAAAUAGCCCAUAAUAUUAAAGUGGAAAGAAAAAUAUCGGUGUUUCGUAAAAAUGAUUUGCAUAAAAAAACUUAAAGGUUUUUCGUGAUUGCGUAAGUAUUCACCCCUAUUUCUGAAAUCCCUAAAAUUAGUUCUGGAAGAAACCGGUAGAUGCUGUGGAACGUCCCUGAAACAAGUUCUCCCUUACGUUAUAGCUAUGAACCGUCUUUAAAGUUACUAAGACAAAAAAAACAAAAAAAAAACAAUAAAAAACAACAAACAACAACACAGACUGUCAUGUUACUGAGUGUGUAAGUGCCGACACUGGAGACUCCUUCCGUAAAUGCUAAAUAAACACAAACCUUCACCACAUCAACAAUGUUUCAGUCUAUUGAUGUGGACCGUCCCUGAAUGAGCUGUUACUAUAGAAACGAUCAUGUAUCGGGACAAGCGCGUUGAUCAACAGUCAGAAUCAAGGAUUAAACAGCACUGUGGUAGGCUACAAAACACAACCUGAUCACAAUCAGACAAAUCAGAU
This is a long non-coding RNA of Ictalurus punctatus (channel catfish), 829 nucleotides long. NCBI's taxonomy places the organism in Eukaryota, Metazoa, Chordata, Actinopteri, Siluriformes, Ictaluridae. The record is from Ensembl.